AAAGAGAGUUGAAAGACUCCCUAAACCCAUGUGAACCUACCUGAAAGUUUGCUUCGGCAGGCGGCCCCAGGGCGGGGCCUUCAGCCUGUAAUCAGGUGCCUGCCGGAGGUUUUUUCAAACUCUUGUUUUUACCGAUGUUGUUCUGAGUAUACAAGCAAAAAAAUCA
RNAcentral lists this unclassified non-coding RNA (166 nucleotides) under uncultured Sordariomycetes. RNAcentral describes it as "sequence contains ITS1". Lineage: Eukaryota; Fungi; Ascomycota; Sordariomycetes. The record is from RNAcentral.